UACGUGGGGGGCAAGCGUUGUCCGGAAUCAUUGGGCGUAAAGAGCGUGUAGGCGGCUCGAUAAGUCUGCUGUGAAAGUCCAGGGCUCAACCCUGGAAGGCCGGUGGAAACUGUCGGGCUAGAGUCCGGAAGAGGCGAGUGGAAUUCCCGGUGUAGCGGUGAAAUGCGCAGAUAUCAGGAGGAACACCGAUGGCGAAGGCAGGUCUCUGGGCCACUACUGACGCUGAGAAGCGAAAGCAUGGGGAGCGAACGGG
This 253-nucleotide ribosomal RNA is filed under the name uncultured bacterium. RNAcentral's name for it is "partial 16S ribosomal RNA". It matches the Rfam family "Bacterial small subunit ribosomal RNA", at positions 524 to 776 of the family's 1533-position model. The record is from RNAcentral.